CCUGCGCCAGGCCUCCUCGCCCCAGUGCCCUCGUCGCUGCUAGGGAACUGGUCACCUGGGCGUCUGGCCCUCCUCCGCUGGCAGCCUCAACCACACCUACACAGGUAGUACAUGGGAAGCAAAGGUUUUCCCCCUGCUUCUCAUUGCAACAUUGUAAUAAAAUCCUUGCUUGCUUCCGCUAUGAGUUAUUUUACAUUUCAGUCUGAUGUCAACACAGUAGCAUUUGCUGAUUGAAGUGUUGAUCUCAUUUAUUCUGGAAGCGAUGAUAAUAUGUGCAAAGUAGCUUGCAAUUACAAACUAUUAUGUUCGACCAUAUAUGACUGAAUUUCUUUCAGAUUAAUUCACCAUUUAUAAUAGUGUCCGAUAUGGAUGAGUAUGCUAUGGUAAAUCUCCUCUGUAGUGUACAUGGUCUAUUUCAAUAUUCCAGUUUAGUGUACCCAUGCACAGGAAUUCCCUAGUAUUGCCAAACCUAGUUUUUAUGCGUAUGAUACUGACUAUCAUUUUUUGAUUCCCCUUUUCAUGCAUGAGGGCCGGACUAAUUUAUUUUGAAAGGAACAAGCUAUAUAGGGGCUGAAGCAUCUGGGCGAUGAGGCAGUGCACUUAUGACACCUAUGGGGAGUUCACUAGCGCUCAUCGCUAGAGUUCGCCGAGAGCCGUGGCGGGAGUCCACCUUGAAGCGCAGCACCCGCAGGUCGUGGGUACUAUUCUGAUUCUCGAGAUUAAAAGAUGCUUAUGUGGGAUAUUUGGAUGGAUAAGCAACAGAGCAACCGAGCAACAGCGAGCAGCCUUGCUUCACCGCUUGAUGGUUUACUAACGAAUGCUGCAGGAGUUAACAAGCACGACCGCAGGCCCACUAGCAGUGUCGUCGCGCACGGAACUGCGUCGCGCUUGGCUCCUGAACCUCUCUCUAAAAAAUUGGUUGUUCUCUUUAUCUUAGUCUCUCUAAGAUCCUCGCCCCUUUCUGUUACUUUUGAAGUGAGUUUUUCUAGAACAUGUUCCUAAUGUGUGUUCUCUUGUUUACUACAGAGAGAGAGAGAGAGAUAGAGA
This is a long non-coding RNA of Lolium rigidum, 1047 nucleotides long. RefSeq lists it as uncharacterized. The transcript has 3 exons. Lineage: Eukaryota; Viridiplantae; Streptophyta; Magnoliopsida; Poales; Poaceae. The record is from RefSeq and is a predicted model, not a curated record.